Lemur catta (Ring-tailed lemur) is the source of this 212-nucleotide long non-coding RNA. RefSeq lists it as uncharacterized. Lineage: Eukaryota; Metazoa; Chordata; Mammalia; Primates; Lemuridae. The record is from RefSeq and is a predicted model, not a curated record. The transcript has 3 exons.
GUCUCACAAUAGUGUCUGAUAGGCCACUGUGCUGAUCUCUUGGAACAAGAAGUGUGAGACCAUGUGGAAUCCCAAGAUUAUAGUCCUCCCUCUCUGUGAUCAAGGUGUACUCACCCAGGUGGUGAAGGUCUUCUUUGCUGAAAGACCAGGGACCAAAUGCAGGGGCAAGAGAGUUACACAAGAUGAAGCUGGCUCACUUCCGAAAGCUUUCU